GUGCUCAUUUCGGCAGCACAUAUACUAAAAUUAGAACAAUACAGAUAAGAUUAGCAUGACCCCUGUGCAAGGAUGACAUGCAAAUUCAUGAAGCAUUCGAUAUUUUU
Molecule: small nuclear RNA, 107 nt
Organism: Dipodomys ordii (Ord's kangaroo rat)
Lineage: Eukaryota; Metazoa; Chordata; Mammalia; Rodentia; Heteromyidae
Source: Ensembl